CGCGUAUGCAACCUACCUCUUACUGGAGGAUAGCCCGAAGAAAUUCGGAUUAAGACUCCAUAGUAUUUCGAUCUCACAUGAGAUUGAAAUUAAAGGUUACGGUAAGAGAUGGGCAUGCGUCCUAUUAGCUAGAUGGUAAGGUAACGGCUUACCAUGGCAACGAUAGGUAGGGGCCUGAGAGGGUGAUCCCCCACACUGGUACUGAGACACGGACCAGACUCCUACGGGAGGCAGCAGUGAGGAAUAUUGGGCAAUGGAGGCAACUCUGACCCAGCCAUGCCGCGUGCAGGAAGACGGUCC
Molecule: ribosomal RNA, 300 nt
Filed under: uncultured Fluviicola sp.
Lineage: Bacteria; Pseudomonadati; Bacteroidota; Flavobacteriia; Flavobacteriales; Crocinitomicaceae
Description: bacterial SSU rRNA
Rfam family: Bacterial small subunit ribosomal RNA
Source: RNAcentral